AAGCAUUUUUGGGCCCCUCCCUGCACCAGGCACAGUGCCCUGGUGGUGAACACCUCCCGACUCACCCGCCCUCCCAGGAAGUUGACCUGCCUGGGCCUGCCCUCUGAUCUCACCCCUUCAUCGAGAGCGGGCAUGACCGUUCCCAUUUCACGGACGAGGAGACUGAGGCCAGAGAGAGAAAGAGAGCAGGGCCCUGUUACUCCAGAUGGGUGGCUGCCCCACAGGUCUCAGGGCAGAUGCUCUAAGAGGGGGUAGGUGGUGACUGGGGUGUGGCCAGUCCCACCAGAGAUCUGCCUGCCCCAGACCUCAUAACCCCAGGCUUUUCUAUGAAAAGCUCCCUGUGAAGCUGGGCCCAGCUGCACUCCAAUCCUCUUGCCCUGACCUUCUCUGAGCCUCAGUUUUCUCGUCUUGGCAAUGGAGAACAUCAGCUCCCUGAGGGAAGGGAUCUCCAUCUAUGUUGUUCACAGCAGGUCCACAGCACCUGGAACUGACUCUGGCAUAGGAUGUUUGUUCGAAAGACCGUCCACCUCCCUCCCCUUUGGCAGCACACGUGGCCUUAUCUGCGGGCCCAUCUCACACCAGGCCUGUGGGACCGGAAGGGGGUUGCAGGGCCACUGAGCCAGUGCCUCGCAGAGGCUGAGUCCCCUUCUCAGGCCUGAAGACCCCAGAGACUGGAAGCCCCAAGCGCAGCUGCCCCACCAGUGCCCCACAUGCAGCCUGCUCUCCUCCCGGCUCCUGGGCCCCCGGGGAGCUGUUUGCAGUCAGGAUUCCUUCCUCCUCUGUCUGCCAGCGCUGGGCUGUGGGGCCAGACUGCCCGCUCCAAUUCCCCCUGGACACUGGGUCUGUUGUUUAACCUCUCUGGGCUUCCCUUACCUAAGCUGGAAAGUGGAUUAAGUGGGUUAAAUGGAUUAAAUUGUAAACUGUUUACAAAUGCUGUCUGGCACGCAGAAG
RNAcentral lists this long non-coding RNA (951 nucleotides) under Equus caballus (horse). RNAcentral's name for it is "lncRNA (ENSECAG00000050459.1)". The record is from RNAcentral. Lineage: Eukaryota; Metazoa; Chordata; Mammalia; Perissodactyla; Equidae.